RNAcentral lists this long non-coding RNA (622 nucleotides) under Setaria viridis. RNAcentral describes it as "long non-coding RNA (SVIR_LNC006440)". Lineage: Eukaryota; Viridiplantae; Streptophyta; Magnoliopsida; Poales; Poaceae. The record is from RNAcentral.
UCGGGUCUGUCCAAUGAACGAAGAAAAAGUUGGACGACUUUACCCCUGGGGGGUAUUUGGGUUGUGUGCUUAAUGUAAGGGAAUUUUGGAGAUUUGCCAAAUGCCUAUAUAUGUAUAGGAGGGCUGUUUGGGGCAGCCAUCCCUUGGGCUAGUUGGUGGCAGGCUACUCAUUUAUUUUGUAAGAGUCUUUGGUAGAGGGAGAGAGGGAGAAAAGAGUGGAUCUUUGUGUUGAUCUUUUUGCCAUCCAAGCUUUGUCUGUGCUCAGGAUUGGCUUGUAACCAGACAUGGUGGAGUAAUCCAAGAAUCAAUUUCGUGCUCAAUUGCUUCUCCUUCUCAAGAUCUGAAAUUUAUUUUUUUUCCCCAUUUUCGUAGCAUUUUUGGGUGCAUUUUUGGAUCUCACGAUUGACAGCGUUUUGAGGUAUUUUUCUUGGGACAAAUCGGUGCUAGGACAUGUGCAAGAACACCUAGGAUGAUUCCCUAGCAAAUCCAUGCACGAGCACCUUGGAUUUUGAGAUUUCCCGAAAAUCCCCUUCUUGUGCCCUUCUCCAAAUUCAUGGAAUAUUGUGAUAAAUUCAUGAGCUUUUUGACUUGAAACUUUGGGAACACCUUUGGAAUGUUGUUG